This 1523-nucleotide long non-coding RNA is filed under the name Struthio camelus australis. Its description in RNAcentral is "lncRNA (ENSSCUG00000010042.1)". The record is from RNAcentral. Lineage: Eukaryota; Metazoa; Chordata; Aves; Struthioniformes; Struthionidae.
UGCUGUUUCUGCAGUUAUUUUUGAGAACUAUUCUGUAUUUCUAGGAGUGUGCUUGAAUCAGAAGAGCUGAAAUAUGGCAUUGGCAGCAUGUAGAUUUUGAUUCACUCCUCUCACUGGCGAAGUCCGCCUCUCCCUAUGCAAUGCUGAAGGAAUAUAUUCGUGCUCAUGAUGUCCCUAUUUAUCACUACAUUUGCAAACAUGACCCAGGAAGUCAGACUCCAUUAUAGCAUCAAUCACCAGUCCAAGGGGAAAUUAACCAAAAAGAGGGUUUUUCUUCCAACAGCGAGCAAGCAAACAACAACAAAAUACCAUCUUGACAAGAUACUAAAAGUUUAUAGUUUCAAAAAGGGACUGGAGAAAUGCACAGAAAUGCAUUCCUUGGAAGCUGUGGUAUUCACCUCCCACUCCAGAAGUUCUUGAACUUGAAACGACUGAAGGUUGGGAAAGCUGGUUUUCUGAAGCUGGGAAAACGUCAUGAUACGUUUACCUUGUUGUUAUAUUCCUCUACAGAAACAGGAUCCCAGCUGAGCGUAACUCCUGUAUUGCCCUCAAAACGAUUACAGGAUUUCAACCAAGGAGCAAAUACAAAUUCUAAGCCCAAUUCUUUGUCAGCUCUCUUCAUCAUAUUAUCUUCGUUAAGGCAAUUCACACAGGAGUCUCAGAGAAAAGAUGCUGUAACCUUUAAACAGAAGUGGUGAAAAGCAGUGCAAAAGACAGUAUGGAAAUGAAAAUUACCACCUUUGUCUGAAGGUUUCAAGGAAUAUAGCUAGCUCCCGUGGGAAGGAUAAGGGGUACAAUCCCUCCAGAUUUAUGGCAGAACUGACCCAGGAUACUGCAAGUAGCCACAACGGUAUUCAUGUUAAAUCAGUGCCAUCAUAGCACCGCGGAAUGACAACUGAGUCCUUACAUGCAGCACUAUACGGGGGCACCCAAAGGGAGAGCUGAAGCCCAGCACCUGCACUGGCCCCAUGGCAGAGCUGCACUGAGUUUGCUUUCCCCAGAACUGGAGACAGGGAAGCAACAAGGAGCCAAGGACUCUGGCCUAAGUCACCACCCACCAGGGCCUUAAUGAACCUAUUUCCCGGGGAAGGAAACUAUAACCUCUACUUGAAGACCACCAGAGGAGCUGGAGAUGGCAGGAAGGCCGCUCCCAGGAGCUACAUGGGAUGCAGAUUGCACACUACCAAAAUAUUGCUACCAUGAGAAAAGCAAUUCUGAUUACAAUGUAGCUCAUGUAAUGGCAGUAUAUAUCAAACAAUACAUACCGCCUAAAGAGUAAUAUCCGUAUAUCUGUAAUACUGUAAUAUCUAACUUUGCAAUAGUGAUAGGAAGUACAGACACUGUUGUAAAUGGCUCAAGUGGGAUCACACGUGGGACAGUCUGCAGAGUUUCAUUUUCAUGGAGUCAAGGAAGAUGGAUUUAAAUUGAAGCAGAUACAGGAAUCACAUUAGAGAAAACUAUAGGAGCACAGCUUACUUAGGCUGGCAGAAUAAAAGAUAUGGUGGAGAACUGAAAAAAAGUCA